RNAcentral lists this ribosomal RNA (497 nucleotides) under uncultured bacterium. Its description in RNAcentral is "partial 16S ribosomal RNA". It matches the Rfam family "Bacterial small subunit ribosomal RNA", at positions 28 to 507 of the family's 1533-position model. The record is from RNAcentral.
GAUGAACGCUGGCGGCGUGCCUAAUACAUGCAAGUCGAGCGAACGGACGAGAAGCUUGCUUCUCUGAUGUUAGCGGCGGACGGGUGAGUAACACGUGGAUAACCUACCUAUAAGACUGGGAUAACUUCGGGAAACCGUAGCUAAUACCGGAUAAUAUUUUGAACCGCAUGGUUCAAAAGUGAAAGACGGUCUUGCUGUCACUUAUAGAUGGAUCCGCGCUGCAUUAGCUAGUUGGUAAGGUAACGGCUUACCAAGGCAACGAUGCAUAGCCGACCUGAGAGGGUGAUCGGCCACACUGGAACUAAGACACGGUACAGACUCCUACGGGAGGCAGCAGUAGGGAAUCUUCCGCAAUGGGCGAAAGCCUGACGGAGCAACGCCGCGUGAGUGAUGAAGGUCUUCGGAUCGUAAAACUCUGUUAUUAGGGAAGAACAUAUGUGUAAGUAACUGUGCACAUCUUGACGGUACAUAAUCAGAAAGCCACGGCUAAAUACGUG